RNAcentral lists this ribosomal RNA (293 nucleotides) under uncultured bacterium. RNAcentral's name for it is "partial 16S ribosomal RNA". It matches the Rfam family "Bacterial small subunit ribosomal RNA", at positions 775 to 1067 of the family's 1533-position model. The record is from RNAcentral.
GGAUUAGAUACCCUGGUAGUCCUAGCCGUAAACGAUGGGGACUUGGUGUAGGGAGGAAUAACUCUCUGUGCCGGCGAUAACUCGUUAAGUCCCCCGCCUGGGGAGUACGAUCGCAAGGCUGAAACUCAAAGGAAUUGACGGGGACCCGCACAAGCGGUGGAGCAUGUGGUUUAAUUCGACGCAACGCGAAGAACCUUACCGGGGUUUGAACAGCUAGCGCGAUCUGCAGAGAUGUAGAGUUCCCUUCGGGGACGUUAGUAGAGGUGCUGCAUGGCUGUCGUCAGCUCGUGCCG